UUGAAUAUAAUGUUAACACACGUUGGCCUCGUAUUUACCUCAACACUAAACCCAUUAACCCACAGAUUCACUAUAACUUUGUUGGUGAGUCCAAUAUACAUAAUAUUUUACGACACAUCAUAUUCAUCCAUACAUAUGAUCGAUAUAGAAUCCUUGAAAAUAUUCUUGAAAAGUGAGAUACAUUUCUACAGAUUAGUAGUUCAGACAAUUUGGUAUUUUGUUUUGACUGGAAAUAAUCAAAAUCCAGUCGAAUUUAUAAAAUUGAUGGAAAAAUCGGAUAUUCUAUACUAAACAGUGUAGACAGCUAAGACAAACCUCUCCAAAGGUUUAAUUUGUCUCAUUGUCUGGCAUCGAAUAAACUUUCAAAAUCCUAUACAGAUGAUAUAUAUAGAUGCUUAAUUGUUUCUUUUAAAAAACUAAAAGAUCUAACGCGUAAUACACGUAAUAGCUACAAAGAUCAUCGACCUCGAAAUUUCAAGAUCAGUGGCAUGGAUUGCGCGUGUCUAUCAACUCAACGUUACUAAGAGAAUGCUUUUCCAAUUUCAGAAAAGUUCCUUUGUAACCCCCUUCACGCGGUUUCCGUCCCACACUACCCGUUUAAAGACUUUUGAAUCCAACAACCACCGUUCGCCACGGGUUCAUGAUCAGUGGCCCAGAUUAUGCUAUCAUUAACUUAGCUGUGUGGUC
This 687-nucleotide long non-coding RNA is filed under the name Brassica napus (rape). RNAcentral's name for it is "long non-coding RNA (BNAP_LNC006175)". Lineage: Eukaryota; Viridiplantae; Streptophyta; Magnoliopsida; Brassicales; Brassicaceae. The record is from RNAcentral.